This 875-nucleotide ribosomal RNA is filed under the name uncultured bacterium. Its description in RNAcentral is "bacterial SSU rRNA". It matches the Rfam family "Bacterial small subunit ribosomal RNA", at positions 518 to 1396 of the family's 1533-position model. The record is from RNAcentral.
CGGUAAUACGUAGGGGGCGAGCGUUAUCCGGGAAUUAUUGGGCGUAAAGAGUACGUAGGCGGGAGAUUAAGCGCAGGGUUUAAGGCAAUGGCUUAACCACUGUAUGCCCUGUGAACUGAUCUUCUUGAGUGCAGGAGGGGAAAGCGGAAUUCCUAGUGUAGCGGUGAAAUGCGUAGAUAUUAGGAGGAACACCAGUGGCGAAGGCGGCUUUCUGGACUGUAACUGACGCUGAGGUACGAAAGUGUGGGGAGCGAACAGGAUUAGAUACCCUGGUAGUCCACACCGUAAACGAUGAGCACUAGGUGUCGGGCAUGUAAGUGUUCGGUGCCGCAGUUAACGCAAUAAGUGCUCCGCCUGGGGAGUACGUACGCAAGUAUGAAACUCAAAGGAAUUGACGGGGACCCGCACAAGCAGCGGAGCAUGUGGUUUAAUUCGAAGCAACGCGAAGAACCUUACCAGGGCUUGACAUCCCUCUGACCGGCUGGGUAAAACCGGCCUUUCUUCGGACAGAGGUGACAGGUGGUGCAUGGUUGUCGUCAGUUCGUGUCGUGAGAUGUUGGGUUAAGUCCCGCAACGAGCGCAACCCUUGUCUUUAGUUGCCAGCAUUUAGUUGGGCACUCUAGAGAGACUGCCGGGGACAACUCGGAGGAAGGUGGGGAUGACGUCAAAUCAUCAUGCCCCUUAUGUUCUGGGCUACACACGUGCUACAAUGGUCGGUACAAAGAGCAGCCAGACCGCGAGGUGGAGCAAAUCUCAAAAGCCGAUCCCAGUUCGGAUUGCAGGCUGCAACCCGCCUGCAUGAAGUCGGAGUUGCUAGUAAUCGUGGAUCAGAAUGCCACGGUGAAUGCGUUCCCGGGUCUUGCACUCACCGCCCG